This 497-nucleotide ribosomal RNA is filed under the name uncultured bacterium. RNAcentral describes it as "partial 16S ribosomal RNA". It matches the Rfam family "Bacterial small subunit ribosomal RNA", at positions 28 to 507 of the family's 1533-position model. The record is from RNAcentral.
GAUGAACGCUGGCGGCGUGCCUAAUACAUGCAAGUCGAGCGAACAGACGAGGAGCUUGCUCCUCUGACGUUAGCGGCGGACGGGUGAGUAACACGUGGAUAACCUACCUAUAAGACUGGGAUAACUUCGGGAAACCGGAGCUAAUACCGGAUAACAUGUUGAACCGCAUGGUUCAACAGUGAAAGACGGUUUUGCUGUCACUUAUAGAUGGAUCCGCGUCGCAUUAGCUAGUUGGUAAGGUAACGGCUUACCAAGGCAACGAUGCGUAGCCGAACUGAGAGGGUGAUCGGCCACACUGGAACUGAGACACGGUCAAGACUACUACGGGAGGCAGCAGUAGGGAAUCUUCCGCAAUGGGCGAAAGCCUGACGGAGCAACGCCGCGUGAGUGAAGAAGGUCUUCGGAUCGUAAAACUCUGUUAUUAGGGAAGAACAAAUGUGUAAGUAACUAUGCACGUCUUGACGGUACCUAAUCAGAAAGCCACGGCUAACUACGUG